RNAcentral lists this long non-coding RNA (1750 nucleotides) under Ornithorhynchus anatinus (platypus). RNAcentral describes it as "lncRNA (ENSOANG00000046806.1)". The record is from RNAcentral. Lineage: Eukaryota; Metazoa; Chordata; Mammalia; Monotremata; Ornithorhynchidae.
GGAGCAGUGAAGAACUAUUUCCUGUAGUGCUUUAUCCUACUUAACUGUGAAUAUAACCUGGAUAGCGCAUCAGGCAUGAGGCACCAUUGCCGGGCCCUGGAUAGAACUAAACCAAUAAUUCUCAGAUCUCUUUAAUACCGACUCUGUUAUAUUGUACUCUCCCAAGUGCUUUGUACAGUGCUCUGCACACAGUAGGUGCUCAAUAAAAGCAAUCGAUCGAAUCGAUUUGGUAAGCUAUUCUUUCCAUUCUCUAAACUACUGCCAGGUAGAAUAGACAUCGGUUAAAACGUUUCUCUCACGUCAUUCUCUUGUUUCUUUUCUUUUUUUUCUUCUUUCAUUUAGGAAGCUGCCUAAGAGAUUUUGUGAAUGUCGAUACUGAAUUCUCAAGGAUUAAGGCUCAGCAAAGCUGCUGUGAAGUAAUUCAGAAGGACCUACCCUAUGGAUUGGCAGCACAGAGCUAUGCUACGGUGGAAACACAACAGUUCCGUGGAGAAGGUGGAGUUUCUCUGUUCCCCGGACAAAAGAAGCCCAGAGGACUGCCUCUGUGUCGCUCCCCUUAGAAGAGGAUCCCCGUGGCGAUCAAGGAUCUUAGCAUGGUUGUGUUCAUGGAUUUUCACCUUUCCUACUACUCAGGGACACCAGCUGAGGCAAAAAUGGCAUUGGCGGUGUUGAGAGAGGAAAUAGACAUGCCUCAAGGAGGGCCAGAAAGGCCAAACCGGCUUGACAGCCCACCCGCCUUCCAUUACUCUGCGCUCCCCAGAGUCGUAAUCUGACUCAGAGAGAUGAGAGAGCUGGUAUAUAGGCCAAUGUUCCCUUAUUCCUCUUUUGCCAUGCUCUAUUCAAAGAAUAGAUCUCCUUCUUCCUUUGUGAGCCAGCUUCUCCUCUUUGGCUUGAACUUUCCAAUUUUUGUCUUCGUCUUUUCUAGGAACUUGAAUUUGUUUUCCAGAAAAAGAAAAUACUCAUCCUAUGCAGUCAUGAAUUUAGUCUGAGCUAGUUUUAAUAAUAAUAACAACAAUAAAAAUACCUUGGUUUUGAACAGCACACUUGUUCCCAAAGCACUGUCGUAAAUUAGGUUGUCGGCAUUCAGCCUGAAGAAAAAAAUGUUAAAAGCUGGGAUUUUACAAGCCUUUCGCCCAGAGAGAUUUCUUCAGAUAAGAUUGCAAAUCCUUCAAAAUAGAAGAGGAUCAAGGGAAUCAAGGCACAUGGUAACAUCUUUGUGUAGGACCUUCCUCAAAAUAUCUCAUUCAUUAUUGAAAGAAAGCAAAUGAAAUUCUCAGAAGGUUUCAUCUAAAUAAUAAUUUGGAUGUUACCUUUUUCUCUUAGAGAAUGUUCUCCUUCCUAAACCCACUCCAUUAUAACAAACAUACUCCAUGUAAGUGGAGUGUACUAUUAUGUUCUGUAUGUACAGCGCUAAAUUAUUCAAAGUGUUCCUCGCAUCUCUUGUUUCUUUUCUUGCUAACUCUAGUAAGAAGAUAUUGGUUAUAAGCAGUCCAUCUCCAAAACAGACAAAUGUAGGUUGAAAAAAACCAGAGAAAAGGCAAUGUAGGUCAUUAAAAUGCCUUUUAAAGUCUUGGAAUUCUUUUAAAACUUGUUAAAACUUGAAUUAUUAAUGAUAAUGUCAUAGUGCUAUAUAAAUUAAUAGUUAUUUGCAAAUAAAACUCUUUUUAAAACGUUUUGGAUCCAUUCUAGAAUCUGUAUAUAAGCAGCUGUGCAGAAUUCCCAGGACAUAGGAUGCCACUGACAAGAAAAC